Molecule: ribosomal RNA, 497 nt
Filed under: uncultured bacterium
Lineage: Bacteria
Description: partial 16S ribosomal RNA
Rfam family: Bacterial small subunit ribosomal RNA
Source: RNAcentral
GAUGAACGCUGGCGGCGUGCCUAAUACAUGCAAGUCGAGCGAACGGACGAGAAGCUUUCUUCUUUGAUGUUAGCGGCUGACGGGUGAGUAACACGUGGAUCACCUACCUAUAAUACUGGGAUAACUUCGGGAAACCGGAGCUAAUACCGGAUAAUAUUUUGAACCGCAUGGUUCAAAAGUGAAAGACGGUCUUGCUGUCACUUUUAGCUGGAUUCGCGCUGCAUUAGCUAGUUGGUAAGGUAACGGCUUACCAAGGCAACGAUGCAUAGCCGACCUGAGAGGGUGAUCGGCCACACUGGAACUGAGACACGGUCCAGACUCCUACGGGAGGCAGCAGUAGGGAAUAUUCCGCAAUGGGCAAAAGCCUGACGGAGCAACGCCGCGUGAGUGAUGAAGGUCUUCGGAUCGUAAAACUCUGUUAUUAGGGAAGAACAUAUGUGUAAGUAACUGUGCACAUCUUGACGGUACCUAAUCAGAAAGCCACGGCUAACUACGUG